RNAcentral lists this ribosomal RNA (326 nucleotides) under Salmonella enterica subsp. enterica serovar Enteritidis. Its description in RNAcentral is "bacterial LSU rRNA". It matches the Rfam family "Bacterial large subunit ribosomal RNA", at positions 2617 to 2925 of the family's 2925-position model. The record is from RNAcentral. Lineage: Bacteria; Pseudomonadati; Pseudomonadota; Gammaproteobacteria; Enterobacterales; Enterobacteriaceae.
CGUCGUGAGACAGUUCGGUCCCUAUCUGCCGUGGGCGCUGGAGAACUGAGGGGGGCUGCUCCUAGUACGAGAGGACCGGAGUGGACGCAUCACUGGUGUUCGGGUUGUCAUGCCAAUGGCACUGCCCGGUAGCUAAAUGCGGAAGAGAUAAGUGCUGAAAGCAUCUAAGCACGAAACUUGCCCCGAGAUGAGUUCUCCCUGAGACUUAAAGUCUCCUGAAGGAACGUUGAAGACGACGACGUUGAUAGGCCGGGUGUGUAAGCGCAGCGAUGCGUUGAGCUAACCGGUACUAAUGAACCGUGAGGCUUAACCUUACAACGCCGAAG